AAGAAUGGUGUCACAUCCCUCCAACAGAGUUCCAGACAGUUGUAGAAUGUAUUCCAAGGCACAUUGUAAGAGCUGUUAAGAGAGAGGGAGUGGGAGAGAGAACAGGCAGAACCUGAUAUGUAAAUGAGCAGAGCAAAUGAAAGUAACUUUCUUCGACCGAAUGAUCAUUCAGACUCUGUUUCUAUUGAGAGAUAAAAGGCUGGUUGAAUGUGUUGCCUGUGAAAGCUACUUCAUCUGCAAGAAAACAGGCGGCUGCACCAGUGACUGGGUCAGUGCUCCAAAAUGAGUCUCUCUGGGGAGAGAGAGGAGGGGGGCCCUGCCUCUAAAAUGAGUCUCUCUGGGGAACAUGACACCAAAGCUAAGAGGUGAGAUGACAAUUUUGUGUAAGAAUUAUUAAAGAGUUUAUUUCAAAAAUGCUAUUUCCAAAAAUAUUCACAUUUGUUUUUUAAUCAGAAAUGGUUUCUUAUGGGUACCUUCAAUAUUACUGUUCUCAGAUUUUUAAUUAAUAGUUUUUAGAUGUGUAUCAUUUUAAUUUUUUUUAUAGCAAAACGCUAUAUAUCCACCUAGAUAUCUAUAUAUCCGCCUAGAUAUCUAUAUAUCCACCUAGAUAUCUAUAUAUCCACCUAGAUAUCUAUAUAUCCACCUAGAUAUCUUUAUAUCCAUUGUUUAGCUGGAAUGGAAUAUUUGUAUUCUGCAUAUUUAACAAUGAUAUGUGGUUGUCUCACCUAGCUAUCUAAAGAUGAAUGCACUUACUGUAAAUCCCUCUGGAUAAGAGCAUCUGCUAAAUCAGGGGUUCUCAAUCGGGGUCUGUGGAGGUACUGCAGGGGCUCCACGGCACCCUGACUGUACUCGUUGCCAUGUAAGACAUUUGAUAGAAUUUUCACAUGACACGACCACUUUGCCUACUCUUAAUUAUUGCCUAAUAUAAUGGAAUACAUAUUUUUUUUACAAUUUCUGAUCGUUGUUACAAGCAGAAUUUUGACAAUAUUACCGUUAUA
Molecule: long non-coding RNA, 998 nt
Organism: Salmo salar (Atlantic salmon)
Lineage: Eukaryota; Metazoa; Chordata; Actinopteri; Salmoniformes; Salmonidae
Source: RefSeq, a predicted model, not a curated record